Molecule: long non-coding RNA, 3366 nt
Filed under: Sus scrofa (pig)
Lineage: Eukaryota; Metazoa; Chordata; Mammalia; Artiodactyla; Suidae
Description: lncRNA (ENSSSCG00015026722.1)
Source: RNAcentral
AUAUGGAAGUUCCCAGGCUGGAGGCCAAAUCAGAGCUACAGCUGCUAUUCUACACCACAGGCACAACAACUUGGGAUCCAAGCCAAGUGUGCGACCUACGCCAAAGCUCAUGGCAAUACCAGAUCCUUAACCCACUGAGCGAGGCCAGAGAUGGAACCCACAUCCUUAUGGAUACUAGUCAGAUUCAUUUCUGAUGCACCACAAUAGGAAUUCCCUGAACAAGCAUUUUAAGAAGUGAAUUAAGGCUUGUGGUCUUGACAGGCUGUGAGGCCCAAUCUGGUCAGGACAGAGGGCAGAAGAGGAGCCCAAGAUUAGUGCUUUUGCAUCAAGUCAGCACGCUGCUCGUUCUGCUCUCAGCAGGUACCCUGAUUCUAGGAUCCCGGCUCCAGCCCAAGGCACCAGCAUCCUCGUCCUAGUUCUAGUUCCCCUUUGCUGUGCUCCAAAAUGCUCUUCCUAAAAUACAAACCCGGCCAGGCUGCUCCAUGCUCCAAGCACCCCGGCUCAGCUCUGUGGCCUUCAGGAUUCCUCUGACUGCCUGAGGCUGCUCUGUCCAGGCUGGUCUCUGAGUCCCAGCCAGCUCUGCUUGCUCUGUUCACAUUUCAGCCUAAAUGUCGCCUCCUCAAGGGGGCCCUCCCUAACUGCCCAGUUACUCCCAAUAACAUGAAUGUAUUUCACUCCUCUGCUUAGAACCUAACCCUGCAGAUAUUCCCUUAGUUAUAUAGUUGUCUCCUCCCACUAGAAAGUGAGAGUAGGUAUAUAACUCGUUUGCGGCUCUAUCCUCUGCCUAUCACAGUGCCCGGAACACAGAAAGACCUCAGUAAACGUACGCUGAACAGAUGAACACAUUAAUUAAUCACUGGCUUGCACUGCCAGCCUUGGCUGGGCUCUCACACUGAAUGCAGGAGGUUACCGACAAGUUGCAUUUCUCAGAUGCAACCAGCCAACAUGUGGAGCAGAGUUUGCUUACUGCAACGUCUGUGCUCUGGGGAAAGUGUUACAGAAAUACAAUUUCUGUAAACUGUUCCCAUUAAAGAAAGCUGGUGUUUUGGAGUUCCCUGGUGGCCUAGAGGUUAAGGAUUCAGCACUGUCACUGCCGUGGGUUUGAUCCCCAGCCAGGAACUUCUGCAUGCCAUGGGCAGGGUCAAAAAAAAAAAAAAAAUCAUUCCAAUAUCUUCAUAGUAGUCUGUAAAGAGAAGCACUGCUUCUUUCUAUCUUUUUUGCACAAAUGAAUUUUCCAAAAUUUUUCUUAAAACAGCUGUGCAUAUUUGUUAUUAAUGUCAAAAUCACCACUUAAAUUUUCCUAUUUACUGACAGAAAUAAAAGCAUCAUCUUCAUCCUUGGAACAAAUUAUGCCUUAACAAUAAAUUAAAUAAAUUAAAUAAAGCAGUAGGGUCCAGAGAGUAUUGUAAACCCACUCAUGGAAUAACUGUUCUCGGCGCCUUUAGAAACCGUGGAACAAUAGAGCACAUGAGAAGGCGCUUGUGCGCUGCUCUGAGGAAAACGGACAGGCAUUCUGACCACAUAACAUGCAGAGGAGAGGUUUUAUAAAGAGCUUUAUAAAGAGGACUAUUCGAAUGCAUUUCUGUCUAAUUCCUGGACUCAUUGUGCAAGGAAAGAUUUCAGAGACCCAUAGGUACCUCAAGCAUACAAAGAAAACUAUGAAUAGAUGACAGUUCCAUUUUAGUGCUGGGGUCCUGUCUCCCCCUAAUUCAGAAAACUUAUAUUCUACAUAAUAGUUUCCCAGCAAAGAUCCUGCCCACCCAUCUUUCCCACAAUGGAAAAGCCAAGGGAAAAUCUCCACUUGGGAGCUUUAAUUGGUUUUCCUGUGCCUGCUGUUGUGGGGAGUGAGUUUCAAGGGAGCUUAGAGUAGAUGAGGGAGGAGGGCGCCUGGCUUCCAUUUACAGAGAGUUACAAAAAGGCAACAUGGAAAAUAAACAGUUGGUUGCAAGGCAGUAAGCAGAAGUUAGGAAGAGAAAAUCAGGCCCCUGCAUGCCAGCCUCUUGAAAAGAUAAGUGCAGGCUAUGCCCGAAAUGGUUUCUGGCCUUCAGGGGGCGGGGGGGAGGGCACAUGGCCACCAUGGAUAUACUGAUGAGAACACAGCCAUGGGGGAGAAGUUGUCACACUAGCUGGGAGGGUGUAGGUGCCACUUACAGGACCUACUGCAUAGCAAGGGGAAACCUACUCAAUAGUCUGUGAUGGUGUAGGAGUUCCCACUGUGGUUCAGCAGGUUAAGGACCUGACACUCAGUGAGGAUUCCAGUUCAAUCCCUGGCCUUUCUUGCUGAAUGGGUUAAGGAUCCCUCGUUACUGCAAGCUGCAGUAUGGGUCACAGAUGCGGCUUAGAUCUGGCGUUGCCGUGGCUGUGGUGUAGGCUGGCAGCUGCAGCUUGCAGCUCUGAUUUGACCCUUAGCCUGGGAAUUUCCAUAUGCGAGAAGGAAAAGAAAAAGAAAAAAAAGAUCGCUAAAUAAGGCAAAACCAAACAAAGCAAAACCCACCCAUGCCCCUGAGGCAUGAGGAAGGGUUGCUGUUUAUUUACUCUCUUCCUAUCCUUUUCUCAAACCUUCCUGCUCUUCCUUCUCCAAUGGCUUAUUACUGAUAACAACAGACAGGUGUUGCACCCUCUACACUGGUGGUUCACAGUGAUGUGAUGGCCAUGUCACCUGGGGGAGGUUUCAAGAACCACCAGGUUGAGAGCCCCUCAGGAUGUUAAUUCCAAAGACUGGGAGUGGGCACUGGCGUCACUAUGUAUUAAUCCUCUGCAAGCAAUGCUCUUUGCAGUCAGCGUGGAGAACUGCUGCUCUCAGGGCAGCUGGGGAGAAAGAGGGCAAGAGACGAAGAGAGGGUGGAUCAGAUGGUCCAUCCCAACAACAGAGGAGGCGGGCAGCAUCACCAACUCUGCAGCGCGAGGCGGGGGGUGGGGGGGGUGUAUUUAAAUGAGAAUGAAAGGGCAGCAGUAACAAGGUGUGGGCCCCCUGCGUGCUGCGGUUCAGCCCUCCGAGGACAGGAAGUGUGGUAACAAGAAGAAAUGUCUGACAAUUCAAGGAAGAUGCCUGGCAAGAGAAGGCGAACUGAUCCUGGCGGAACCAAGACAGGGCAUGUCGAACUAUCGCAAGUUGGGAGAUAAGAGAGAAAACGAAUCUUGGGAAGAGGUUGUAAGACCUGCAGAGAAACUGCCAUCUGAAGCUGGAGUAGGAGGUGUAUGUAAACCAAGACACCCCAAGAACGAGGUCUUGGCUAGCAAAGGUGGGGUGUGUACUUUCACGUGUCAAGGAUUCAACGCCUUUUCAUCUGAUGGUUUCCCCUUCAGACAUAAGUUUUGGUGUCACUCGUAAGCAGAUCAGAACUCAAAAAAAAAAAAAAAAAAAAA